Small nucleolar RNA from Trichomycterus rosablanca, 309 nucleotides. The record is from RefSeq and is a predicted model, not a curated record. Lineage: Eukaryota; Metazoa; Chordata; Actinopteri; Siluriformes; Trichomycteridae.
GCCCAGUGAUGAUACCAAGGCGAAUGUGAGCUCACUGGAUGGGAGUCUGAGUUCUUCUGCUGUCCUGUUGGCUGGUAAUCUUGACAAGGCAGUGGAGAUUUGCUGCACUGUUGUAAGGGCCAGCCUAUAGUUAUUAAGCUCCUCCCUUUACACGCUCCUCUAAAGAAAGGAGUGAGAGUAAGUGUGGGUGCUGACAAGUUUUGUGUGUGUGUUUGUGUGUGUGUGUGUGUUUGGGGACACAGACAGAUUCUCAGCUCUAUCCUCUGUAUCCAGUGGGCCAUGAACUGCAUCUUUGGUAAUCUGAGGGUG